GGUCCGUUGCUAAGACUGGAUAGGAAAUAAAAAGGCAUCUUUUUAUUUUUAAAAGACCUUUUUCGGAAGGUAUGCUUAAAGAGGGGCUUGCGGCACAUUAGUUAGUUGGUAGGGUAAAGGCCUACCAAGACUAUGAUGUGUAGCUGGACUGAGAGGUUGAACAGCCACAUUGGGACUGAGACACGGCCCAAACUCCUACGGGAGGCAGCAGUAGGGAAUUUUCGGCAAUGGAGGAAACUCUGACCGAGCAACGCCGCGUGAACGAUGAAGUAUUUCGGUAUGUAAAGUUCUUUUAUUGAAGAAGAAAAAAUAGUGGAAAAACUAUCUUGACGCUAUUCAAUGAAUAAGCCCCGGCAAACUAUGUGCCAGCAGCCGCGGUAAUACAUAGGGGGCAAGCGUUAUCCGGAAUUAUUGGGCGUAAAGGGUGCGUAGGCGGUUUAAUAAGUCUAUAGUUUAAUUUCAGUGCUUAACACUGUUCUGCUAUAGAAACUAUUAAACUGGAGUGAGAUAGAGGCAAGUGGAAUUCCAUGUGUAGCGGUAAAAUGCGUAAAUAUAUGGAGGAACACCAGAGGCGUAGGCGGCUUGCUGGGUCUUUACUGACGCUGAGGCACGAAAGCGUGGGGAGCAAACAGGAUUAGAUACCCUGGUAGUCCACGCCGUAAACGAUGAGUACUAAGUGUCGGGGUUACUCGGUACUGAAGUUAACACAUUAAGUACUCCGCCUGAGUAGUACGUACGCAAGUAUGAAACUUAAAGGAAUUGACGGGACUCCGCACAAGCGGUGGAUCAUGUUGUUUAAUUCGAAGAUACACGAAAAACCUUACCAGGUCUUGACAUACUCUGCAAAGCUAUAGCAAUAUAGUGGAGGUUAUCAGGGAUACAGGUGGUGCAUGGUUGUCGUCAGCUCGUGUCGUGAGAUGUUAGGUUAAGUCCUAAAACGAGCGCAACCCUUGUCACUAGUUGCCAGCAUGUUAUGAUGGGCACUUUAGUGAGACUGCCAAUGAAAAAUUGGAGGAAGGUGAGGAUCACGUCAAAUCAUCAUGCCCCUUAUGAUCUGGGCUACAAACGUGAUACAAUGGCUGUUACAAAGAGUAGCUGAAACGCAAGUUAAUAGCCAAUCUCAUAAAAACAGUCUCAGUUCGGAUUGAAGUCUGCAACUCGACUUCAUGAAGUUGGAAUCGCUAGUAAUCGCGAAUCAGCAUGUCGCGGUGAAUACGUUCUCGGGGUUUGUACACACCGCCCGUCA
RNAcentral lists this ribosomal RNA (1246 nucleotides) under Candidatus Phytoplasma oryzae. RNAcentral describes it as "bacterial SSU rRNA". It matches the Rfam family "Bacterial small subunit ribosomal RNA", at positions 152 to 1399 of the family's 1533-position model. The record is from RNAcentral. Lineage: Bacteria; Bacillati; Mycoplasmatota; Mollicutes; Acholeplasmatales; Acholeplasmataceae.